The sequence is a transfer RNA, 73 nucleotides long. It matches the Rfam family "tRNA". Rfam says of the family: Transfer RNA (tRNA) molecules are approximately 80 nucleotides in length. Their secondary structure includes four short double-helical elements and three loops (D, anti-codon, and T loops).
CCCGGGGUAGCUCAACUGGCAGAGCAUGCGGCUGUAGACCGCAGGGUUGGGAGUUCGAGUCUCCCCCCCGGGA